Molecule: ribosomal RNA, 253 nt
Filed under: uncultured bacterium
Lineage: Bacteria
Description: partial 16S ribosomal RNA
Rfam family: Bacterial small subunit ribosomal RNA
Source: RNAcentral
UGCGUAGGGGGCAAGCGUUGUCCGGAUUUAUUGGGCGUAAAGCGCUCGCAGGUGGUUCGAUACGUCGUGCGUGAAAGACCCCGGCUCAACUGGGGAGGGUCGUGCGAUACGGUCGAACUGGAGGCCAGUAGGGGGAUGCGGAAUUCCGGGUGUAGUGGUGGAAUGCGUAGAGAUCCGGAGGAACACCAGCGGCGAAGGCGGCAUCCUGGACUGGUCCUGACACUCAUGAGCGAAAGCGUGGGGAGCGAUCCGG